Molecule: ribosomal RNA, 329 nt
Filed under: uncultured bacterium
Lineage: Bacteria
Description: bacterial SSU rRNA
Rfam family: Bacterial small subunit ribosomal RNA
Source: RNAcentral
UGCGUAGGUGGUUUUGUAAGCGCGGGGUGAAAGGCAAUAGCUCAACUAUUGUAAGCCUUGCGAACUGUAAGACUUGAGUGCAGGAGAGGAAAGCGGAAUUCCUAGUGUAGCGGUGAAAUGCGUAGAUAUUAGGAGGAACACCAGUGGCGAAGGCGGCUUUCUGGACUGUAACUGACACUGAGGCACGAAAGCGUGGGGAGCAAACAGGAUUAGAUACCCUGGUAGUCCACGCCGUAAACGAUGAGCACUAGGUGUCGGGGCCGCAAGGUUUCGGUGCCGCAGUUAACGCAUUAAGUGCUCCGCCUGGGGAGUACGCACGCAAGUGUGAA